RNAcentral lists this ribosomal RNA (869 nucleotides) under uncultured bacterium. RNAcentral describes it as "bacterial SSU rRNA". It matches the Rfam family "Bacterial small subunit ribosomal RNA", at positions 9 to 873 of the family's 1533-position model. The record is from RNAcentral.
AGAGUUUGAUCAUGGCUCAGAACGAACGCUGGCGGCGUGGAUAAGACAUGCAAGUCAAACGGGACUUACGAGUAGUAAUACUUUGUAAGUCUAGUGGCACACGGGUGCGUAACACGUGAGUAAUCUGCCGAAAAGUGGGGAAUAGCUUGCCGAAAGGCAAAUUAAUACCGCAUGUGGCUACCGGGGACAUCCUCGGGACGCUAAAGCCGUAAGGCGCUUUUCGAUGAGCUCGCGGCCUAUCAGCUAGUUGGUGAGGUAAUGGCUCACCAAGGCUUUGACGGGUAGCUGGUCUGAGAGGACGACCAGCCACACUGGAACUGAGACACGGUCCAGACACCUACGGGUGGCAGCAGUCGAGAAUUUUUCACAAUGGGGGAAACCCUGAUGGAGCGACGCCGCGUGGAGGAUGAAGGCGUUUUCGUCGUAAACUCCUGUCAAACGGGAACAAGAAAGUGAUAGUACCGUUAGAGGAAGGGACGGCUAACUCUGUGCCAGCAGCCGCGGUAAUACAGAGGUCCCAAGCGUUGUUCGGAUUCAUUGGGCGUAAAGGGUGCGUAGGUGGCAUGGUAAGUUGAAGGUGAAAUCUCGGAGCUCAACUCCGAAACUGCCUUCAAUACUGCUGAGCUCGAGGACUGUAGAGGAGAAUGGAAUUCACGGUGUAGCAGUGAAAUGCGUAGAUAUCGUGAGGAAGACCAGUGGCGAAGGCGAUUCUCUGGGCAGUUCCUGACACUGAGGCACGAAGGCUAGGGGAGCAAACGGGAUUAGAUACCCCGGUAGUCCUAGCAGUAAANCGGUGCACGUUUGGUGUGGGAGGAUUCGACCCCUUCCGUGCCGGAGCUAACCGCGUAAACUGCCGCCUGAANACCNCG